CCCUUAGAUGUUCUGGGCCGCACGCGCGCUACACUGACGAAUGCAACGAGCUUAUAACCUUGGCCGAAAGGUCUGGGUAAUCUCCAAAUUUCGUCGUGAUGGGGAUAGAUUAUUGCAAUUAUUAAUCUUCAAUGAGGAAUGCCUAGUAAGCGCAAGUCAUCAGCUUGCGUUGAUUACGUCCCUGCCCUUUGUACACACCGCCCGUCGCUCCUACCGAUUGAAUGGUCCGGUGAAGCGUUCGGACCGUGGCCUUUGGACGGUUCGCCGUCUGUUGGCUGCGGGAAGUUCGUUAAACCUUAUCAUUUAGAGGAAGGAGAAGUCGUAACA
This 327-nucleotide ribosomal RNA is filed under the name uncultured eukaryote. Its description in RNAcentral is "partial 18S ribosomal RNA". It matches the Rfam family "Eukaryotic small subunit ribosomal RNA", at positions 1470 to 1796 of the family's 1831-position model. The record is from RNAcentral.